CGGUUUGAUGAUCUUAUGGCAGAGGAGGAAGCUGUAUCUUCAAAAUGUGUCAAUUUGGCUAAAGACAAUCAAGUUAUCCAACAGGAGUUAUUAUCUAUGAAAAAGGUACAACAAGAAUGUGAAAAACUUGAGGAGAAUCAAAAGAUGUUGGAAGAAGAAAUAUUAAAUCUCAAGACACAUAUGGAAAACAGUAUCGUAGAACUUAGUGAACUACAAGAUUAUAAAUCAGAGCUAGAUGAAAGGGCAAUGCAGGCAGUAGAAAAAUUAAAAGAAAUCAAUUUACAUUUACAAGCACAAUAUAAAAAACAAUUAGAGCAGUUAAACAAGGAUAAUACGGCUUCACUAAAUAAGAAGGAACUCACACUUAAAGAUGUAGAAUGUAAAUUCUACAAAAUGUAAACUGCUUAUGAAGAGGUUACAACUGAGUUAGAAGAAUAUAAGGAAGCCUUUGCAGCAGCAUUGAAAGCUAACAAUUCCAUGUCAAAAAAAUUAACGAAAUCGAAUAAGAAAAUAGCAAUGAUCAUCACCAAGCUCCUUAGGGAGAAAGAGCAGGUGAAAUAUUUUCUCAGCACUCUUCCUACAAGGCAAGGUCGAGAGUCACCUUGUGUUGAAAAUCUUACUAGUAUAGGACUCAACAGAAAAUAUAUUCCCCAAAUGCCCAUAAGAAUUCCUACUUCAAACCGUCAGACUUCAAAUAACUGCCAGAACUACUUGACUGAGCUGCUGCUGUGUUGGACACUUGCUCCCAUCUACUUUCUUCUCUAG
Molecule: long non-coding RNA, 765 nt
Filed under: Homo sapiens (human)
Lineage: Eukaryota; Metazoa; Chordata; Mammalia; Primates; Hominidae
Description: non-protein coding lnc-CWH43-6:1
Source: RNAcentral